CUUGCACCGUCGAAAGAAAAAGAGUGGCGAACGGGUGAGUAACACGUGGGUAACCUGCCCAUCAGAAGGGGAUAACACUUGGAAACAGGUGCUAAUACCGUAUAACACUAUUUUCCGCAUGGAAGAAAGUUGAAAGGCGCUUUUGCGUCACUGAUGGAUGGACCCGCGGUGCAUUAGCUAGUUGGUGAGGUAACGGCUCACCAAGGCAACGAUGCAUAGCCGACCUGAGAGGGUGAUCGGCCACACUGGGACUGAGACACGGCCCAGACUCCUACGGGAGGCAGCAGUAGGGAAUCUUCGGCAAUGGACGAAAGUCUGACCGAGCAACGCCGCGUGAGUGAAGAAGGUUUUCGGAUCGUAAAACUCUGUUGUUAGAGAAGAACAAGGAUGAGAGUAAAAUGUUCAUCCCUUGACGGUAUCUAACCAGAAAGCCACGGCUAACUACGUGCCAGCAGCCGCGGUAAUACGUAGGUGGCAAGCGUUGUCCGGAUUUAUUGGGCGUAAAGCGAGCGCAGGCGGUUUCUUAAGUCUGAUGUGAAAGCCCCCGGCUCAACCGGGGAGGGUCAUUGGAAACUGGGAGACUUGAGUGCAGAAGAGGAGAGUGGAAUUCCAUGUGUAGCGGUGAAAUGCGUAGAUAUAUGGAGGAACACCAGUGGCGAAGGCGGCUCUCUGGUCUGUAACUGACGCUGAGGCUCGAAAGCGUGGGGAGCGAACAGGAUUAGAUACCCUGGUAGUCCACGCCGUAAACGAUGAGUGCUAAGUGUUGGAGGGUUUCCGCCCUUCAGUGCUGCAGCAAACGCAUUAAGCACUCCGCCUGGGGAGUACGACCGCAAGGUUGAAACUCAAAGGAAUUGACGGGGGCCCGCACAAGCGGUGGAGCAUGUGGUUUAAUUCGAAGCAACGCGAAGAACCUUACCAGGUCUUGACAUCCUUUGACCACUCUAGAGAUAGAGCUUCCCCUUCGGGAGCAAAUUGACAGGUGGUGCAUGGUUGUCGU
RNAcentral lists this ribosomal RNA (997 nucleotides) under Enterococcus casseliflavus. RNAcentral's name for it is "bacterial SSU rRNA". It matches the Rfam family "Bacterial small subunit ribosomal RNA", at positions 73 to 1055 of the family's 1533-position model. Lineage: Bacteria; Bacillati; Bacillota; Bacilli; Lactobacillales; Enterococcaceae. The record is from RNAcentral.